RNAcentral lists this non-coding RNA (89 nucleotides) under Fragilariopsis kerguelensis. The record is from RNAcentral. Lineage: Eukaryota; Bacillariophyta; Bacillariophyceae; Bacillariales; Bacillariaceae.
CUCAAAUCAAUCAUCAUCGUCCCUUUCUUCUAGACGUCAACAAGAAAUGCAAGGUCGUCAGUCGUCACAGAAAAGAGGUUCCGAAUCAA